AAAAUGCAUCAAUCCUAAGGAGAUGUUUUUUGCUCUUCUUCUCCUUUAAUUUGCUAUGGGUCAAGUUACAAAUUCGACCUUUGUGUCUGAAUCAACAUACAAGGAAAAAGGUGAAUGAGGAGAUCUAUAAUAGGAUAUAAAGAAUUCUAUUUCACAAGGUGUAUGUGAACCGCUUGGAUCUUAAGAGAAUGAUAGAAACAAAAAAAAAGUUGAAAAUAAAUUUUUUGAAUGCUUUUACUCAUGUGACGUCAUUGUUAAUUAUAAUUGUAAUUGUAAUUGUAAUUGUAAUAUAUAAUAUACAUGAAAAGUACUGGUGUAACUUGACUAAGAGGUUGUCAAAAUAGAUUAAUUUCCAUACAUGUAUCAUCUAUAGUUUAAACAUAGUUGAUUGAGUAAAGUUUAUAUAUGCACUUUAUAUUGAUCGACGAACAAUUUGUGUUCUUCUUUUGAAG
Molecule: long non-coding RNA, 452 nt
Organism: Trifolium pratense (red clover)
Lineage: Eukaryota; Viridiplantae; Streptophyta; Magnoliopsida; Fabales; Fabaceae
Exons: 3
Source: RefSeq, a predicted model, not a curated record